This is a long non-coding RNA of Choloepus didactylus (southern two-toed sloth), 2824 nucleotides long. RefSeq lists it as uncharacterized. NCBI's taxonomy places the organism in Eukaryota, Metazoa, Chordata, Mammalia, Pilosa, Megalonychidae. The record is from RefSeq and is a predicted model, not a curated record. The transcript has 3 exons.
UAGGCACUGGGGGGGCUGUUGGGUUAACCCAGCAGUUCCGCGGACACAGGGUUUUCCAAGAGGGAAUUAUUUAAGAUUGAAUGAGAUGGAAGACCAUUCGGGGCCCAGCCCAGAGCAAAUCCUCAGACUUUUGGUUGAAGGGACAGAAGCACAAACCUGAAUGCAGUGAGUUACUCUAUAAUGUAUUUGUUACUGAAAGCAUUACCUACCAACAUAGACAAUCACUGUCCUACACUAAAACAACACAAUGUAACAUCAACUGGAGGAUCUAUUAGAUGGGAGGUGAAAAAUGUCUUUUCCAACACUAAAUAGAAGGAUUUUAAAAGGGAGAGAUUAGUGUAUAUUAAAACAAACAAGAGAGUGUCACAGAGAAGGUGGGAUUUGAGUUGGGCAAGUAGCUAAAAAGAGAACUUUCCAGGCAAGGCAUGAACAGGAACAGAAAAGUGGAAAUGAGCAUGGUGUGCGUAGACCAAGUGGAGGGUGCAGGCUGGAGCACAGGUGAAAAUAAGAGUGUAUAAAGAGCGAGAUAGACAAGCAAGAAAAAUGUCACUAAAUGCAGCGGGUUCUAGGAAACCAUCAAGGACUCACCGGGUGGGGAGGUCCAUGAUGCAGAGUUUGUCUGGCAAUAACACAGGAGAUAGGUUAGAGGGAAGAGGGAUAUCAGGGAGACAAGAAAAGACAGUGAAGGCAUGAACAGUGAUGACAUCAGGAGAGUGUUCAGGAAGGACUGAUAGUAGUAGCCAAGUGGAAAAUGCCUUUAAAGAAAACUUCAGCGGACUUUAGCUGAAAGGGUGACUUUAUAUUGGUGUCUUUAUCUCUCAAAUAACUUCACUGUCUUAGAUAAAGGAUGGAUGUUGAGAGGUGACUGGGAAGAUAAGAUGAAAAGCAUGUGCUCUGGGAACAGUGACUCCACUAACAAUUUUUUUUCAUGGACAUCUGAAACUCACUCUGUAACAUUCAACAGUCAAAACAACUGUAUCUGGAUCAAAGGAAAUACUUGAAAUUACUUCAUAUGAUUUGAAACUUGUGCUGAUAACCUUGGGUCUCAUCUCAAUAGCAGAAAAGGUUAAAGCAAAACACAUACAUAGUAUGGGGAAAUUUUCUUCAUUUUUAAUUUACAGCAGAAAGAAUAUAAAGCAUUCAGAAAACAUUUUCCAUAUUUUAAGGGCAAUUCAAAACAUUUUGCAUGGUUUCCAGCAGCUGAGUUCUUCAACAGAUCCAUUGAUUCAAUGAUGCUUUACAUGCACAAUUACAAAAAUAAAACUUACAAAAAAGAAGACAUCUAGACUAGUUUUACAUGCAAGUCUCAGGGACCCCCCAUUGGGCGCCAACUACUGUGUGGAACUGCCGUAAGCGACCGUGCAGCCAGAAAGGGGUUUGUGUUAUUGUCUUUAUUUCGUUCACACAGUACAGCUGAUUUCAAAUGGGUAACAAGAAUAGCAAUUAAAUCUUCAGGAGACAGAAUAAGAUUAGCUAUUAAUUUUAUAAUGAAAUCCUACUCCUGGCACUUGGGAAUUCAGAUUAUCCAAGAAAGCUGCGCUUUGCCUAUCAUCUUAUAUUCAAAAGUAAGAUUUGUAACCAAUAAAAAGCGAUCAGAAUUGCCUCAUUUCAGUGGAAGUGCAUUUUUACCUCACCUAGGACUCACAGUUGUACUGGUGGGUUUUGAACCUACCUCCUUUCCCCUGUGUUAAGAACCCUCCUAAUUCCAUUCGCAAGUCUCUAUCUUCCGGACUCUUCUAACUUAUUGAGCGAAUAAUGUAGCAUGUGAAAUACUUAAAAAAAAUAAUUAAUGUGAGGGUUAAAGCAAAUCCACUGAGGUCAUUACUCUUGUCAAAAGGUCAGUUAUUUUUUACCAUAAUGGAAUAAACAUAUCUAAAAUUCAGUGUUAAUAUAGGAUAUUCUUAAAGAGCUGGCUUUCAUAGUCUACUCCCAUUUGUGAAUGCCAUGUGUUUGAAAAUCACUCGUGUUCCUCCUAUAGAUCAAACUGUGUAAAAUAACAGAUAUUUGGGGAUUGCAACAUCUGCAACAUAACCCACACAUUUAAAAACAAAAUCGAGUCUGGUCAGUUUACAAAUGUACAGGUGACUGCUAGUUGUGGGGCUGUUACUUGUCAAAGCUGGUCACAAGCAGUAAGACAUAUACUGUACAGUAAUCCAAGGUUGGCAGUGAAAGGAAGGAAUUAAAAAACAAGUACAAUUAUAGAAAAGGCACCAAGAGCACUGACCCCAGUUUUUAGCACAAUCUUUGUGUAUCUACCUUCCUUGUAAAGACACCAGUUUAAAAGCUUAUUUGUGAAUAUUUUUAGGCUUCACAACAAGCCUUGAGUUUUGACUUACAGUUGGUAGCCAGAACCAAACAAAACUGCUAUCAUCUCAACUUUACACCAACUGAUCCUCAAACUUAACCUGGGAAUUUUAAACUGGCAUCAGCAAAUGCAACUUUAUUCUCUCAGUUAGUUUAAUUUUUAAAAGCAUCAGAUUUCUUUGGCUCCUCAUUAUAUAGAAAUAUUAAUAUACCAUGACAUCUCUACAAGACCAGUUUGCGUCAUUUUAAUUUUUAGUUUUUGUGCAAUUUUCAUUACAUUUUCUGAUUUCCAGCAGGAGAUUUGAAAACGUGAGACUUUUUUUUUCUACUUUUCAUUCUAUUUCUUUUGUCAGGUUUUGAUCAUUCAGAGUGUUCUUUGUUGGAGUGAGUGGAUGGUGUUAAGCUACAUACUGAUUCAUCUUAUGAUUAUCUGUUUUGCAAAAGUAACGUAAUUCUCUUAAGCAAGAUUAGCAUUCACAUUACUUGGCACCAUUGGCAAAAUAAUUUUUAAAGUAAAAUA